RNAcentral lists this long non-coding RNA (2855 nucleotides) under Nicotiana benthamiana. RNAcentral describes it as "long non-coding RNA (NBEN_LNC032141)". The record is from RNAcentral. Lineage: Eukaryota; Viridiplantae; Streptophyta; Magnoliopsida; Solanales; Solanaceae.
ACUACCAGUCAUGCCUUGUUUCUUGUAACUGUUCCAUCUUCAUCUAGUUUGUUCAUGAAGGCCCGUUUUGUCCCAAUGACUGAUCUAUCCUUGGGUCUUGGAACCAAAUGCCAGACUUGAAUUCUCUCAAAUCAAUUUUGUUCAUCCUGUAUAGCAUUGACCCAAUCUGCAUCCUGUAAGGCCUCAACAACAUUUUUGGGUUAAAUGAUGGAUAGAAAGGUAUCAAAUGCACACAUAUUCUUCAGUUGAGAUCUAGUUCUGACUCUAGAUGUUAGAUCAUUGAUGAUGUUCUCAAUAGGAUGAGAACUCAGGUACUUGUAAGAUUUCCCCACUAGCUGGUCCCUGCUAGAUGCUUCUUCAUUGUUAUGUUGCCGAGGAACAGGUUCAGGUACAGGCUCCUUUAGAGAGUUUUGUUCAAUUUCUCUCAUAUUGGUUCCCCCUGUCAGGUUGCCUGAGUGGAAGGGCCUAUUCCAUCACCUGUUCCUUCCUUUGAUGCCACUUUGACUUGUGAUGUGGCUUAAGUCAAUUGUUUCACCAAUCCAAUGGCUUCAUCUUCAUGUUUCUGUCUCUCAGAAAGAAUGUUAGAUUCAUCAAAUACAAUAUGUACACUUUCUUCUACACACAGAGUUUUUUUAUUAAACAAUUUAUAUGCUUUGCUAUGUGAAGAAUAUUCCAAGAAUACUCCAUCAUCACUUCUGGGAUCAAACUUACCUAGGGAGUUGUUGCCAUUAUUUUGCACAUAGCAUUUGCAACCAAAAGCCCUAAUAUCAGAUAUGUUUGGUUUUUUCCCUUUAAGUAUCUCAUAGGGAGUUUUCUCUGUGAGAGGUCUAGUCAUGCAUCUAUUGAUUAUGUAGCAUGCAAUGUGUAUAGCCUCUGCCCAGAAGCUAUGAGGUAGUUUACUAGAAAGAAGCACGGUCCUUGACAUAUCCUCAAGGGUCAUGUUCUUCCUUUCAACUACCCCAUUUUGUUGAGGGGCCGUAAGAGCAGAGAAGUUAUGAUCUAUUUCAGUUUCAUCAUAGAAUUUACCAAACAUUUCAUUUUCAAAUUUAUUUCUAUGAUCAGACCUAAUGGAGGCAAGUUGAUUUCCUAACUGUUUUUGGGUUUUUCUAACAACAGCAGUGAGCAUUUCAAAUGCUUCAUCAUUAGAGGUUAGAAACAUCACCCAGGUAAAUCUAGAAUAAUCAUCAACAAGCACCAUUACAUAUCUUUUUCCACCUCUGCUCAUGGUUCUCAUUGGACCACACAGAUCCAUAUGAACCAGCACCAUUACAUUCCUCACAAACUUUGUCUUCCUUAAACUUGAUAUUAGGUAACCCUAUCACCAAGUCUUUGGAGAAGGAUGACAUUACCUUCUCCCCCCUUGCACAUGCCUCGCAAACUUUGUCUUCCUUAAACUUGAUAUUAGGUAACCCUAUCACCAAUUCUUUGGAGACUAAUUUGUUCAAUUGAUUUAGACUGGCAUGACCAAGUCUUUUGUGCCAGAGGAGGGGAUCAUUAAUUAACACACUUAAACAAGUGACUUCAUUUUCAGAGAGAUUUGACAAAUCUACAAUGUAAAUAUUGUUAACUCUCUAUCCCUGCAAAACAAUCUUGUCAGUAGUAAGGCUAAUCACAAAGCAUUUGGUAGAAGUGAAAGCUACAAGGUUACCUCUGUCACAUUGUUGUGACACACUUAUCAGGCUAUAUUUCAAGCCAUCUAUCAAAUAGACAUUCUCAAUGGAAUGAGAGUCUGUCUUUCCUACCUUUCCAGCCCCAAUGAUAUCAUAUUUUUUUUCCAUUUUCAAAGGAGACAUUACCUCCUUUUAAGUUCUCAACUCAAAGGAACUGGUCCUUGUUCUCAGUCAUAUGUUUUGAGCAACCACUAUCUAUGUACCAUAUUUGGAUACUCCCCUUCACUUGGACCUGCAAAAUAAAAUCAUGGGUUAGUCUUAGGAACCCAAACUAGUUUGGGUCCCUUUCUAUGUGCAAAAGGAUGAAUUAAAUUUUUUCCCCUAACCAGGCACUUUUUAUUUUUCUUGGAUAAAGGCUUUGUUCUUUUGACUGGCCUUUUCUUUUGUAUUGUAUUCAUUUUUGUAAUAGCCAUUCUUACCAUAGUGUGUGCAGAUCUUAUUUUCAGGAAGUGUGAGGUACUUUUUUUAGGAUCCCAUUUUGGAGCUUGUAUCCCAAAUCCAAGUCCUCUCUUAUUGCUGUUGUGAUGUUUUUGCAGCCAGGAGAGUGCAUCAGAAGCCUUGUUCUAUUUGCAUGUUUUGUCUAGUUCAUGCUUUACAUUUCCUAAAUCUUCUUUUAUGACCUUAAUCAAUUCUUCUUUCUUAUACAGUUCAUCUUUUAUUUUUCCUAGAUUUUCUUCUAGAGUGAGAAAUGAUUGAUCAGCCAUUUUCUUUCCUGCCCCUAAUUUCAAUUUAAUAUUUUCAGAUCUAAGUUCUAGGACAUUAUUUUCAAGUUGAAGAACCUGGUUCUUCAACUCAGUAUUUGUGUUGUCACUCUCAUCAGCUGUAGACUCUAACCUUUUGCACUUUGCUUCUAGGAUAACACAUUCCUUAGACAGACAUUCUUCUCACUGUUUAUUAUUUCAGACUCAUCAAUGAAGUCCAAUAAUAUCUCAGCCAACCUUUCUUUAGACAAAAACUUGAUCUUUUCUUUAAGAUGUAGGAUACUUACCUCCUGUUCAUCCACUGAUUCUCUGAUGGCCAUAAGAGCUUUCUCAUUUUCAGCUUCAUAUUUUGAGUCCUCAUCUGAGGUUUCUCCCCAUGUAGAACCAGAACUUUAGUUGAACCUUUACUUCUUCUUGGUUGGACCUGUUCCUUCUUCCUAUUUCUCCGUUCAGCUCUUUCUUUCUUCCACUCAAUCUCCCAUUG